AGCGAACGCUGGCGGCAGGCUUAACACAUGCAAGUCGAACGGGCGUAGCAAUACGUCAGUGGCAGACGGGUGAGUAACGCGUGGGAACGUACCUUUUGGUUCGGAACAACUGAGGGAAACUUCAGCUAAUACCGUAUAAGCCCUUACGGGGAAAGAUUUAUCGCCGAAAGAUCGGCCCGCGUCUGAUUAGCUAGUUGGUGAGGUAAUGGCCUACCAAGGCGACGAUCUAUAGCUGGUCUGAGAGGACGAUCAGCCACACUGGGACUGAGACACGGCCCAGACUCCUACGGGUGGCUG
RNAcentral lists this ribosomal RNA (297 nucleotides) under uncultured Pseudomonadota bacterium. RNAcentral describes it as "uncultured proteobacterium partial 16S ribosomal RNA". It matches the Rfam family "Bacterial small subunit ribosomal RNA", at positions 29 to 351 of the family's 1533-position model. The record is from RNAcentral. Lineage: Bacteria; Pseudomonadati; Pseudomonadota.